Lutra lutra (Eurasian river otter) is the source of this 1558-nucleotide long non-coding RNA. RefSeq lists it as uncharacterized. The transcript has 3 exons. Lineage: Eukaryota; Metazoa; Chordata; Mammalia; Carnivora; Mustelidae. The record is from RefSeq and is a predicted model, not a curated record.
CCCAGGCCACCCGCCCGCCCGCCGCUGGGGCUCGCCCAGAACGCGCAGCCAGGCUCCGCAGGCCGGGCGCCCUCCCAGCCAAGGCGGGGAUCUGGCCGCGAGCCGGGAGAGGUCCCGGAGGUGACCGCAGCGAGCCCCACCCCCUUCUCCCUCCCCAGUCCCCAAACUGCGGGGGCGGGAAUGGAGGGAAACCGGAGAAAGUGCACGCCCGCGGGCAGGCGGGGGUUGUGAGUGAUCUUAACCCGGCCGCAGCCCAGGAAGGCCGCGGGGCGGACGGGCGGGAGGGCCCUGGGCGGUGGCUGCGGGGGCGGACGGCCAGGCCCCGCGCAGCGUCUCCGGGCCUUAUAAGGGCUUCAAGUCAGCCCAGCCAUCUGGAAUGUGGCGGGGACCCGGGCUGAGGGAGGCGGGGCGGUGCUGGGACCUCCGCCCCCACGCCGGCCUCGGGAGGGCCCGCCCCACUCGUGGAUCUUGGGAGAGGAAGGUCCACCUAGGACGUGAGGGCCGAAGCCUGAAUUUCUGGGUCCUUCAAAAUCCCCUCGAAGCCGGAACUGCGGUGUCGGAAUCCGGGCCAGAGAUUGGUAGCCACACCUCCCACCACCCCUCGGAAGUCAGGUCUAUGGGUAGGGGCUGGGCCUCCCGGGCCACCUGGGAGGUGUUACCCGGGGCUCGGCCGCCUCCUGCUCCCCGACACGCCCUUCGAAAACCCGUUAGGAGGAAGUCAGGACUGGCCUACACUCUGGCGUUCUAGAAAGCGGGUACUGCCGGGUCCCAAGCAGGCAAGGAGGAAGAGCGCGAGCCACAACAACACAGAAGUGCCCCAAGGAAGGAGCAGUCCAAGAGUUAGCAAUCCGGGGUUGACAUGAUACCUCCACCGUCUCAAGGAACCGUCUCCCUCGUUGCUCUGUCCUCUUCAACAAGGGCUUCUGUCUGGGAUGCAGCAUGUGACCCAAUCAUACCACUGUGUUGGCAUUGCCCCCAGCAGGAAGAGGGGAAGGGGAGAGGUUGGCAUGCUUCCUUCUUUUCGAGGGAGUAAUCAUGAAAUUGCACACAUGCCAAUGUCCAGAACUUCGCUGCAUGACCAUGCAGAGCUCUAACGGAGACUUGCGGGAUCUAGUCUUCAUUUGGGGAGAUACAUGUCUAGAUAAACCUUCAUUGCAAGGAAGGAAAUUGGGGGAAACCACUGGAUAGGAAUAGACCGCAACUCAUAGGAUUAGACCACAACCCAGAUCUUUCCUCCGCGCUCCAAAUGUAUGUAUCAGAGUGCUCACUGUGCCUCCGUUUGGAUGACACCAAAGUCCAAACUCAAAACAUCUACAGCGCACAGAUGACCUUUCCUUCAAACCUCGUGGUUCCCAGGGCAGCACACACCGCCAGCGAGCAGAAGCCAGAAUUCGAGGGCAUCAGUGAUUAUCUCAGCUCCCACAUCCAGGACACCAAGUCCUGCCUUGUUUGCUUCCCAUAUUCCCUCUCGGAUUCAUCAAUUUCUCUACAUCUCGGUACUAGUCACACAUUGCUGGAUAAUAAAUUUCUCCAGAACUCAAGAACUUUGUUUUGUUUG